Molecule: ribosomal RNA, 103 nt
Filed under: Mesodinium pulex
Lineage: Eukaryota; Ciliophora; Litostomatea; Cyclotrichida; Mesodiniidae
Description: partial Eukaryotic large subunit ribosomal RNA
Rfam family: Eukaryotic large subunit ribosomal RNA
Source: RNAcentral
GCAAGCUGUGAAAGCAUGGCCUAUCGACCCUCUAGGUCUGAACUGUUCAGCUAGAGGUGUCCGAAAAGUUACCACAGGGAGAACUGGCUUGUGGCAGCCAAGC